AUCGCUGGCGACUAGAGCGCAGGGGCCACACCCGUUCCCAUCCCGAACACGGCCGUUAAGCCCUGCAGCGCCGAUGGUACUCCGCCCGAGAGGGCGCGGGAGAGUAGGCCGUCGCCGGCACCUC
This 124-nucleotide ribosomal RNA is filed under the name uncultured Gemmatimonadaceae bacterium. The record is from RNAcentral. Lineage: Bacteria; Pseudomonadati; Gemmatimonadota; Gemmatimonadia; Gemmatimonadales; Gemmatimonadaceae.